GUAGAAAUAAGCAGGUGGUUUUAAUGUUAUGGCUGAUCGGUGUAGGCUGCAAUAAUAUAAAAAACUGUUUUGAUCAUUAACAUGUAUCUAGCCCAUGCUUUAUAUUGUAUGUGUUCAUGUGUGUGUGUACCAGGACUUGUUGAUGAAGUACAUGCAGAGCGGGUAGGCUGGCAGCUCCACCAGGCCGUACAUGGCUACAGUGAGGUAGCGACUGCCUUUAUCAUCGCUCGCGUUCAUCAACAGGAAGAGCAGGACGCCAGGGCAGUUUGCAGCUGUUGCCAGGUUUCUCCAGGGCCGGAUGUAGUACCCGAGAACGGCGAACAGAGCGAUGCCCACAGCGAAGGUCAUGUUGAAAGCAUGACAUUAUCGGUACCAGAGAGAAAGAUGGGUUUCCUGCCGAUCUUAUCUGAGAGCGGGCCGAACAGGAUGUUCCCCAGCAGCACGCCGGCAAAGAACAGCGACCCUGCCAGGUUGACUUUGUAGGCCUGCUGCUUCACCAGGUUAAGGAUUGAAGUCGAGACUGCAGUGCCAAACGAUGCUGCUCCUGCCGGAUGUGACGGGUCUGGAGUAAUUGCACCAAGAAUGACAAGAACUCACUACAGACUUUAUUGAACAACUCUAUUAUUAUUUAUUUAUUUUCUGCCAGUUAUAACUUUUAGUUCAUUUAAUUCUGUGUUUGUAUGAUUUGUAUAAAUCGUGUAUUUAUUUAAAGUUUCCUCCAGACCACCCAAGAAGGAUGGGCCCUGCUGAGUCUGGUUCCUCUCUGGGUUUCUAACUGUAAUUUUCAGGGAGUUUUUCCUUGCCACAGUCGCCCUCGGCUUGCUCAACAGGGUUUUUUGUAUCUGUUGGUCCUGGAUUUUUUAAAGUUGCGUUGAGACAAUGUCUAUUGUAAAAAGCGCUAUAUAAAUAAAGUUGACUUGACACUCGCACACACAACCAA
Long non-coding RNA from Trichomycterus rosablanca, 940 nucleotides. RefSeq lists it as uncharacterized. Lineage: Eukaryota; Metazoa; Chordata; Actinopteri; Siluriformes; Trichomycteridae. The transcript is spliced from 4 exons. The record is from RefSeq and is a predicted model, not a curated record.